This 26-nucleotide non-coding RNA is filed under the name Rattus norvegicus (Norway rat). Lineage: Eukaryota; Metazoa; Chordata; Mammalia; Rodentia; Muridae. The record is from RNAcentral.
UGAAAACACACAUACACAGCAAAGUC